Molecule: long non-coding RNA, 237 nt
Organism: Gadus macrocephalus (Pacific cod)
Lineage: Eukaryota; Metazoa; Chordata; Actinopteri; Gadiformes; Gadidae
Exons: 3
Source: RefSeq, a predicted model, not a curated record
ACGCUGUAGGGGGGGGGCACCUCUUCAACACACGGGGUUCACCCACCCAGGGGGGGGGCACCUCUUCAACACACAGGGUUCACCCACCCAGGGGGGGGGCACCUCUUCAACACACGGGGUUCACCCACCCAGGGGGAGACCUCUUCAACACACGGGGUUCACCCACCCAGCCACUAUGAGUGCAAGCCGAGGCUGUGAGUUUUUAGAGAACUAUCCCAGGAUUGAAGUGGUUCUCUA